AGUAAGCGGAGGAUAAGAAACUAAAUAGGAUUCCCUCAGUAAUGGCGAAUGAACAGGGAUAAGCUCAGCUUGGAAAUUGGGCCCUCUGGGCUUGAAUUGUAGUCUUUCGAUGGCAUUGCCAGCGGAGGCGCAGAUGUAAGCCUCUUGGAAAAGAGCAUCAAUGAGGGUGAGAGUCCCGUUUGUCAUCUGCAGUCCUCUGUUUACGGUGUGCUUUCUAAGAGUCACGUUCCUUGGGACUGGAGCGCAAAUUGGGUGGUAAAUUUCAUCUAAAGCUAAAUAUUGGUUCGAGACCGAUAGCAAACAAGUACCAUGAGGGAAAGGUGAAAAGGACUUUGAAAAGAGAGUUAAAAGUGCCUGAAAUUGCUGAAAGGGAAGCGAAUGGAACCAGUCUUCUUGGUGAGAUUGUUGUGCGCUAUUGUGAUUGCUUUCUGCUUCAACGCAAGUGUUGCAGUGGGUUUUGAGCAUGACGCGCACUUUGUUUCUCACCUCGUGUGUCAACGUCGGUUCAGAUUUGAGGAAAACUCUAGGGACAUGGGUAAUUGCUCGCGAGUGAUUGAAUGUGCCUGGUAGAACUCAUGUCUAAACUGAUUUCCGCAUGUCUGGUCGCAGUGUUCUCAUUACCUGCGUCUGGGUUCGUGGCUUGUAGCUUCUGUUACUCGUCGCGGGCUCUGGGCCUGGUCGUGGAGCAUCUCCCUGACAUUAGUACGAUGACAAAAUGGUUUCAUUCGACCCG
RNAcentral lists this ribosomal RNA (733 nucleotides) under Karlodinium veneficum. Its description in RNAcentral is "LSU rRNA". It matches the Rfam family "Eukaryotic large subunit ribosomal RNA", at positions 45 to 651 of the family's 3401-position model. Lineage: Eukaryota; Dinophyceae; Gymnodiniales; Kareniaceae. The record is from RNAcentral.